UGCCCCGCAAUCCAUGGACUUCUAAUUUCCGUUCAUUGUUAGGUUCAGUACUCUGCAGUAACGUCUCAAAAAAAAUCCAAGAAGCAUGACCCCAUCCUUGCACAAGAUGACGCCGAAAUGGCAUGUGGUACCAGCCUUGGAGUGCAGGCCGAGGAACUUCACUGUGGACUGAGGGUUGUGUAAUAGUUUCAGGCACGAAAUCAUUUUAGAAGCGUGGGAUGAAUUCCUACAGAACCGUUCCCUCCUUCUGUAUUUUAUCGAAGAACUCGCAAGGCUUCUCAGGUUGCAGCUCGAUUCCUACGAAGCUAUUUUUGCUCUUUGCCCGAGCCCAUUGGUCUUGACACAGCAUCGCUAGAGUCACCCGCUCCGCUCCUGGACAAAAGACCUUUGAGAGCGAAUUCUGCAAGGAGAGUCUCUCUGAAAACACACCUCAGAAUUGUCCAGUUCUGUCCCAGACACACGACAACACUGGAACAGAGGUCAGGACGUCUCCAGGUGUUCCUGGGCUUUGGGUGAUCAUUUCAGGUAAUUCCAUUCAUUUUUGUGUUCCUAUGUGCCAUUAUUAUUAUUAUUGUUAAUGACCGUGUGCUUACCUUAGUGGGGGCAAAGGAAUCAAACUGGACUGUCUCAGUGACAGCUUUUUGGUUUUUCAUCCAUCGGCCAGACAUAAGAAAGCACUGGGUGUGAUACCCAUUAGGUACUUGGGCGCCAUGAAUGUGUACCACUAAAAAUAUAGAUGCUUGGUUAUUAUAUUAAAGAGGAAAUAGCAAAUGGUCUUGAAACACUGGAGAGAAGGGGCUCCCCCUGCUGUCAUCAUAGAAGCUGCAUCGUCUCUCUGGCUAGAGGAGCAAGGACAUCGCAGGGUAAAGCAUAGUAGCCGACCAUUCGUGAAGUUCUCAUCACGUUGGGGGACGUAUAGUUCUAUUGGAAAUAAAAAAAAAAAAAAAAACCACAGACCACGAAUGAAGGCAAUGAAUACUUUUCUUAAAAGUUUUCUAUGCUCACAUUCAUUUGCUGAAGGGCCAGCGUCCCUAUAAACCACUGAAAUGGCCGGGGCACCUGGGUGGCUCAGUCGGUUGAGCGUCUGACUUCAGCUCAGGGCACGAUCUCGCGGUCCGUGAGUUCGAGCUCCGCGUCAGGCUCUGGGCUGAUGGCUCAGAGCCUGGAGCCUGCUUUGGAUUCUGUGUCUCCCUCUCUCUCUGCCCCUCCCCUGUUCAUGCUCUGUCUCUCUCUGUCUCAAAAAUAAAUAAAUGUUAAAAAAAAAAAAAAAACAAAAAACACUGAAAUGGCCAACCCAAGUCCACGGAUGGCUUUAAAGGCAAGGGUGGCAUUUGCCACCUGGUGGCAGGUGGGGUUGGGGUGAGCCUGUGUUUGAGCAUACUGUGCCUUUUUAAAAAAAAAAAAUAAUCGAUAAAAGUGACCUAUGACGAAAAAUAAAAGAACACCACUAAGUUUUGACCUUGGUAAAAAUGUUGGAUUUGUAAAAAAACUCGUUUCCUUUUCCUGUAAAUCACACUCCUCUGCACAUGGGUCUUUACAUCUGUAAGUAAGCCUUCAGAGCUCAUGAACACCACGGAUUUGUAGCCCUGGGAAGAACUCGAUGGCAAACAUUCCCCGAGUGAAGUGUCAGCCGUGACCAGACCGAGCCGGAGGUCAUUCAUCUGUUUGCUGAGAGGUUGAGGACUUGGAUGGAAUUAGUCGGGUCGAAGGUCUUCACGGAUGAGGUCAAUCGCAAGCAGUUAGGAAGGAGAGGAGAGGGGCGCCUGGGUGGCUCAGUUGGUUAAGCCGUGGACUUCGGCUCAGGUCAUGAUCUCACGGUUUGUGAGUUCCAGCCCCGCCUCAGGCUCGCUGCUUUCAGCACAGAGCCUGCUUUGGAUCCUCUGUCCCCCUCUCUCUCUGUCCCUCGCCCACUCGUGUUCUCUCUCUCUCUCAAAAAUAAAUAAACAUUUAAAAAAAAAAAAAGAAGGAAAGGAGAUGGCCUGUGCAAGCUCUGAGGGAUUGGAGAGGAAAAAUCACGGGAGGAGAACCCACGUCUACGUGGGUGUGGUCAUGUAUUGAUUCAUUUAUUGGUUUGCUUAUCCCUUCCCUCCACUCAUGGUAAGGAAGGCAGGCUCUUGAGCUAUGGCCACAGCUCCACCUCUCUAACCAUAGCGUUUAACCCUCUGACCUCAGUGUAAUUAUCUGUGAAAUGGGUUAAGGCUAUACCUAUGUCGUGGCAUUGUUGUUGAGGGGAUUGGAUGACAGGGUUAUAGAACACGCAUAGUCAGCGCAUAUUAAGUCCUUGUUAAAUUUGGGUACAUCACCCUGCGGUGCUGGGCUCUGGGCCGGUGUUAGAUAGUUGUUAAAAAACAAAAAAAACACCAGUGUCUUCAGGGUCACCUGAGUGGCUCAGUCCGUUAAGCAUCCAACUUUGGUUCAGGUCAUGAUCUCACGGUUGGUGAGUUCGAGCCCCGCGUCGGGCUCUGUGCUGACCGCUCAGAGCCUGGAGCCUGUUUUAGAUUCUGUGUCUCCCUCUCUCUCUGCCCCUCCCCCAUUCAUGCUGUGUCUGCCUGUCUGUCUGUCUCUCUCUCUCUCUGUCAAAAAUAAACAUUAAAAAAAUGUGAUCAUGAAUCUGGUCACCUCUCUCCACCUGAUGGAAACCAUCAUCAUCUCUUGUCUGAAGCACUACAGAAGCUUCUUACCUGUUCUUCCAGCCCCCGCCCGUCUUCUCUGCAGUUUGUUCUCAGUUCAGCAGCCAGAAUAAACCUCAAAGAUACUGGCCUGAUCUUGUUUCUUCUUCAUUCAAAGCCCUACGAUAGUUUUCUAUCUCCUUUAGAGUCAGAUGUGAAGUCUUCCGCUGGCCUGCGAGGCCGUGCUACCUCUCAGACCUGGCUCGGACCCUUGCUGGCUCCAUUUUAGCCACACUGGCAUCUGCGCUCUUUCCUGACCUUGCCGAAGAGGCUCCUGCCUCAGGACCUUCGCAUUUGCUCUCCUCUGUUUGGAAUGGUCUUCUGAGAUGUACGCACAGCUCGCUCCUUCACUCCCUUCAGGUCUCAGCCCCAGUGUUCCUGUUGCUGUUGUAAACAUUCCCACAAAUUUCGUGCCUUAAAACAACACAAAAUAACUGUCUUAGGGUUCUGGAUGUCAGGAGGGUAAAUUUAAGAUGUUCACGGGGCUGGUUCCUUCUGGAGGCUUCUGGGCAGAACCCGUUUCCUUGGCCCUUUCAGCUCCUCGAGGCCACCCACAUUCCUCGGCUUGUGACCCCUUCCUGCCACCACUCUGAACCCUCGCUUCUGUCCUCACGUUGCCUCCUGCCUCCCUCUUCUAAAGACUCUUAUAAUUGGGGCCCCUGGGUGGCUCAGUCGGUUAAGCAGCCGGCUCUCGGUUUCAGCUCGGGUCAUGAUCUCAUGGUUGCUGGGUUUGAACCCCACGUUGGACUCUGCACUGACAGUGUGGAGCCUGCUUAGGAUUCUCUCUCUGCCGCUUCCCCACUUGCACGCACGUGUACUCUUUCUCUCUCUCCCUCAAAAUAAAUGAACUUUAAAAAAAAAAACCCGUAUAAUUACACUGGGCUCAGCUGAGUAGUUCAGGAUACUUGGCUUAUCUCAAAAUGCUUAACUUAAUCAAAUCUGCAAAGUCUCUUUACCAAGCAACAUCCCGUAUACACAGGCUCAGGGUGUUAGGACAUGGACAUCUUGGGGAGGGGUCAUUACUCAGCCUACUGCACACUCUCUAUAAAAUAACCGUCCCAACUUACCCCCCAUUCUAGAAUCCUGUCCCUGUUUCAUUCUUCCCCUUGGCACUGUUCCCCAUCAGACAUUGUUUGUGUCUGUUGGUUUAUAACUUUCUGUCUCCCCCGCGCCCCGACCCCUGCAUGCCUUAGAGUGUAAAGCGAACGAGACAGGGCAAAGCACCCCCCUGUGGCACAAUAGUGGGGGGCGUGGGCAUGUUCUCAGUAAAUAUUUGUUAAAGGGCUAAAUUUAGUCUCUGAUCUUAAUGAGGGGAGUGUGGUGCAAAAUAGUGAACGGUAAGAAAAGAGUCAUGGGGCACCUGAGGUGCAUGGGGCUCAGUUAAGCGUCUGACUUUUGCUCAGGUCAUGAUCUCGCAGUUCACAGGUUUGAGCCCCGCAUCAGGCUCUGUGCUGACAGCUCAGAGCCUGGAGUCUGCUUCGGAUUCUGUGUCUCCCUCUCUCUCUGCCCCUCGACAUCUUAUGCUCUCUCUCUCUCUCUCUCAAAAAUAAAUAAACACUAAAAAAAAUUUUUUUUUUAAAAGGAAAAAGUCAUAAAAAUGUAUUUGGAAGAUUUCAUGGAAACACAAUCAUUGGACUGCAGAGAGAGAACAUCAGGAGGGCUGCACGGAGGAGGAAACUGAAGGGGGCCAGUGGCAGGGCAGGGCUUGGGAGAAGGAACAGAGCUCAGCCAGGUGGGAUGGAUCUGGGGAUCCUACAGGAACUGUUUAGCCAGGCAGGAGGAGGGUCCAUGCGGACAGAUGCGGGUUAGAAAAAGCAGGAAGAAAAGGUCAGGGGCAUAUGCUAAGGAACCACAUCAGAGUCCGAAGGGUGAUGUAACCUGAGAUGCUUUCUGCAGGGGUAGGAGGUAGGGGGCGGGGUUCAGGUAAAGCAGGAGGAAGCAGGCAGGAAGCGCAUUCUCCUUGGGGGUGGGCGGUAACAGCCUCUCCCAGGGGGCCCCCCAGAAUGGUGAGAAUGUGUUCUGAUGGCUGACCCCAAAGAGUUCAGCCGGCUCUGAACUUCCACCUUCUCCUGGCACAGGAGGAGAGAGGAGGGCGGCAGGGGUGGGGUGGGGGAAUGUGCAGCAGCUUGGCUCACCUAACAGCUCCCGGGGGUGGGNNNNNNNNNNNNNNNNNNNNNNNNNNNNNNNNNNNNNNNNNNNNNNNNNNNNNNNNNNNNNNNNNNNNNNNNNNNNNNNNNNNNNNNNNNNNNNGGGGGGGGGGAGGGGGGCCCUUCCAGGCUGGUUGCAGCUGUUCUUUUAUCGAAAGAUUUGGCCAAGAACAGUGUGAAGUGGUCACAGUCACGACUGCCUUGACUCCACCAGCCUGGCUGUGCCCUUGGAUAAGUUCUUGGGGGUCUCUAAACCUCAGCCUCCUCAUCUGUAGAAUGGGGAUAAGAAUAGUGCCUACUUCUUAAGUUUAUUGUGAGGGCUAAGUGAAGUGAUACAUUAAGUCUCCUCGGGGCAGUUCUACCAUAAACCCAGAGUCUAGUUCUUUAUCCCCAAACAGGAAGCACCCGAGGCCCGGGUGGGGGGUGACCAACCAUCUUCUCUCCCCUCACCCAACCCCUAGAGAUCUCACCACUCAGGUCUGCCCCCCCACCCCCCGGGGCCCUCUGUGGACAGAUCUCUCUGAUAGGCCUUCUGGGAAUGCAUAUUUAAAUCGCAGCCCUCCACCUCCAGAGUCCUCUGAAAGGGAAUCUCCCCCACCACUUCCAGUGGGAAUGGAUUUCCAGCCCUCCGUCCCUUCUCUAGCCUGAAAACUCCCCCCUUCACACUUGGGUUGUGAGUGUGCAUGGCUCUCCCCUGCCCAGCCUCAUCUCGGGGAUCUCUGGCCCAUCCUUGGCCCUGGUGGAGAGGACAAAGGAAGGCCACCAGGUUCUGGGAGCCAGAGAGAGGCUGGGAUGGAGAAGCCUGAGGCUGCUUCAGUCCUGGUUCUGUCUCUCUCUAGCAGCAAGGGCCAAGGUCAGUUUUUUCAUUUUUUAUUUUAUUUUUUUAAGGUUUAUUUAUUUUUGAGAGAGAGAAAAGACAGAGUGCGAGUGGGGGAAGGCCAGAGAGAGAGAGAGAGAGGGAGACACAGAAUCCGAAGCAGGCUCCAGGCUCUGGGCUGUCAGCACAGAGCCCGAUGCGAAGUUCGAACUCACAAACCUCGAGAUCGUGACCUGAACCAAAGUCAGACGCUUAACCAACUGAGCCACCCAGGCACCUCGUGUUCUAGAUUAACCAAAUGUACAUAUCACUCACCCUACCACAGGUAAGGAGGGAAUGUUUAAUACCUAUAGUAUUAGGUGUAGAACCAAGAACUUGAAAAGGCGCUGUAAGCUCUAAGGUAAUGUAAAAAUACUGACUUUUACUACUUAACCUGGGAUUUCUCUACUGAUAGAAACUUUACCCUACCUGAAGUGAGGGACUUACUUCCCCUCACACAUCAUUUACAAAAAUAUCAAGACAACUUUGCUCUGAUCAUCUGUAAAGUAUUGAUCCAAUAGUGUUCCCCCAAAUCCCCAGCUCAUCCUAAGGACACAGCUCUUUCUGGGAGGCGGUUCUCAUGGUUAUGAUGCAGUUACAAACCACUGGGUCACAUUUCUACGUGGCCUUGCAGAAAUGUUAUGCUCAGGUUGGCCAUGGGCUCCACGGUGGGGGGCGGGGGGUCAAAGUCACCGGGAGAAACUGCAGACUUCGUCCCCACAAUGCUGGGAGAACUCGGGGUUAGGCUGCCCUGGGCACCAGUCCCCGUAGGAAGGCCACAAGAGACAAAGAAGUCUGAAAACAGAUAGCUAAAGAGGCUUAGUCUUUGGGCAGACCUGACAAGAGACUGGAGGUACCCUCGCUACCAAAAUACGUAAUGUGUGCUAAAGGGGGUGUGUAAAACUAAGUGUGUCUUAUUUCAGUGUGUGCGAAAGAUUUCAUGUGGGAUUGCUAAUGUGGGAGCUACUGCCUGUCUGUUUCGUUUUUGCUUAGUCACAAUAAAUGUGUUUCUAAGCGACCAUGGAGGCUUUGGGAAGACGUGGUCACUCUACGGGGCAGGAAGGGGCAAAGGGAGCUGCACAGAGGAGGAGACACUGAAACUCCUCGGCCCUGGGCUCCUUCGUCAUCCCACCAUGAAGGCACACGUCUACCCCAGUCCUCAGGCCAAUCCAGGCAUGACGAAGGACUUCUGAGUGCCUCUGGGUCCCAGGAUCACCUUGUACCACUCGCCGAGUUCCCAUGUGACUGCCUGAGUGUCCUUCCUCGCCCUAUCCUAGAACCACUGCCCCUGGGUGAAGGCUUCUAGAAGUUUCCGUGGCUCCUCAGCUACCCCCUCAAGCUCUAGUCUCGAACUAUAAAGGGAGCUCAUUGGCUCUUGGACCUGAAGAAUCCACAGGCAGGUCAGCUUCGAGUUGGACUCACUUCCGGUUUGAGCCCGUGUCUAAGGGCACGUGAAGUACUGCAGCCCAUGGGACUGGUGGCCCGUGGGGCUGAGCGGUCUCCACCUGCAGGGUCACGGGCAGCAGCCCUAAUCCCUGGAGAGGACAGCUGCCUGGAAGGAGGGGUGCUCCCGCCCUGAUGUCAGAGUUAGCCCCGCAUGGAGGGGCAGGGUGGUGGCUGGUAGGCAGGUAGAUGCGUGCACCUCAAGACUUCUUUGUUCCUGCUCGGUCUUCCUCUUUGCCACCGAGGGAGUGAUCCCCAGCACUGAACUCAUGGUGGCCAGCUCUACACCUGUUAGGACACGGGCCGAGCUUUGGGGUGCCACGGGGAGCCACUGGAAGCCGAGGAGAGUGACUCACCCUCUGUUGACAGAGAUGGCGUGGCCGGGACAGAGAAUGCAGGAGGAAGGUGACUGGAAGACAUGUUGGGACAGCCCAAGCGAGGGGGCUGUCUCUGAGAUUUUGAUCUGUAACUUGUUUUUAUAUGUUAAAAAAAAAAGAUACCUGAAGUGGCGGGACUCGUAUCUUCACAAGCUAAAAAAUGCCUCUCUCGUGCUCGCCCUGUCUGUCUGUGCCACUUCCCUCCCCACCAGGCUGCCAUUGUCAUCACCGGCAAGGGCGUGUCACCUAGCAUGCGAGGGGAGGCCACCGCUGCACCCUUGCUGAGAAGUACACGGAUCCUUCCCGCACCGUGCUGUCCUCGCACGGGUGCUCCAGGAGCGCGCCAGCUUGGCCGCGUGCACUUGGCACUCCCAUCCGUCACCGGGCGACGAGAAUCUUCCACGUGCCGAUGGCGGGCUGCAGGAACCAGCAGACCACUAGUCGGACCUGAGCCUUCAGGAGAAAAACUCAGCAGAGUUGUGCCUGGGGAUCCUUCUGAGGGAGAGACACGCUAGGGAGAGACACGCUAGGGGCAAAAUGUUGCUGGAAUUAUUGGCACAGAAUUCUAAGUUGUGCAGGAAAAAAAAAAAAAAUCCCCUGAACGCUAACCCAGUGCUGUGUGAUUUACAAAGCCUUUUGCUUCUGUCAGGCCUUUGAAACAAAAGCAUCAGAGAAAUCGCGCCUUGCUGAAAGUUAUUCGGUGAAGCCUCCAUUUAAAUCCAGACCUUCUAACCCUAAAUCCUAUCUUCUUUUUAUCACUGGUUUACAGCAUUUACGGGUAACGCUUUUGGGGACCCUGGCAGCAUGGGCAAUAUUAGUUAAGCUGUGCCACAGAAUGGAUUCUACAAAUCCCACCAAACCCUUUGCUUACCCACUGGUUUAUUCUCAUUCUUCAUGCUUAGUUUGCUAAUGUAGGAGUCACAUGUCCCUGUUGUCUUUAUUCUCCUGGUUUAAUCAGGAAAACCAGCCAGAGGAGCCGAAAUGAUUAGCUUGGAAUCAUUAGAAGAGGAAAGAAUUUAUAUUCACGGUGACUGUAUUUCUAGUCCAUUGAUUAGGCAAUUUUGCUUUUAUGAAUCAAUCGGGGUGAUUGCUAUGCUGAAUAAAAUACGGAAUUGCUAUCAGAAAGAAAACAUAAAUUAUUAGCUUUAAAAUGCAUACUGUCUACGCAGGGAGCUACACAGUGUAUGGAAUGUUUCUCAUUUCCUCUUCCAGAUUUCUACCUGGGUUUUCUCAAGGGGUACUCCUAUAGGCUCUUUGGCUCUGUUGUGGCACGUGACGGGAUGAUCCAACAAUGCAGUGUCCCGGCGUGUGACAUUACUAUUUAGCUUCCACUAACAGCCCCUUGUAGGUGCGGGGUGGCGUUCCAAGUCAACACAGAGCGCUUUAAUAUCAAUAUCAAUAACCACGCAUAUCUUGACUCUGCGGCUUACAAUCCAGAAGGCAAGGUGAUUUUUAGAAAUCCAUACAAUCACCUUUGGAGACUCUAAGAACUAAUGCCCGAACCAUCUCAUCUCCUAUUAACCGGUUAAUUUUUUUUUCCUAGGAUAUACCGAGGUCAUUUCCUAAAUUGCACAUUUCCCACUGAUUAAUCUCAGUGGAUUGCCUCUUACUAUAGCAAAUAUGAUAAUGUCCAACAAUUAUAAUUCAUAAUUAUGGAACUUUAUUUCAUAAGAGGGUGUUUUAAAAGCCAGAUAAUCACUUUUAAGAAGACACUAGAAAAUUGAAUAGGGCAGAAUAGAGGUGGAAGGAGGAGGAGAAAACAGAAUGAAAAUAGCGGUGGAUGAAACGCUUUAAGACUAAAACCUCGCAAGGCCGGUGUUCCAUGCGUUAAGAACAAAAAAGGAGGCAUUUGGCUUUAGUACCGUGGGAUUUUAUGGAUUCUGGACGCCAGAAGUUUCUUUCUUUGUUUUUUUUUUUUUUUUUAAGUUUAUUUUGAGAGAGAGAGAGAGAGGAAGAGAGAGUGUGUGUGAGCGAGCAGGGGGUGGGCAGAGAGAGGGAGAGAGAGAGAAUCCCGAACCCCAAGCAGGCUCUGUGCUGUCAAUGCAGAGCCCGAUUCAGCGCUUGAUCUCACAAACUGUGAGAUCGUGACCUGAGCUGAGAUGGAGAGUCGGAUGCUCAACCGACUGAGCCACCCAGGCGCCUCUAGAUACCAGAAGUUUCAUGAUUUAAUUCAUUUGACACACAUUUAUUGUAUGCAUCCUAUACAUUGAGGCACUAAGGAGUUUAGAUUGUUAUAAUUUUUUUAAGAUCUGGCCAUCUCGCAGCCUACAGAAAAUGGACUGGCCCACGAGAUAGACAGUUGAUGAGCAUGGAGGAAAAGGGAAAAGAGAAGGAGAAAGAAAAAGCAGAAAUGAAAGUUUAAGGAGCAGCAGCAGCAAGUGCAAACAAAAUCCCGCCGCAAGACCUUUUUCCCCCAAAUAAAACUGUCCAGGGGCGCCUGGGUGGCGCAGUCGGUUAAGCGUCCGACUUCAGCCAGGUCACGAUCUCGCGGUCCGUGAGUUCGAGCCCCGCGUCGGGCUCUGGGCUGACGGCUCAGAGCCUGGAGCCUGUUUCCGAUUCUGUGUCUCCCUCUUUCUCUGCCCCUCCCCCGUUCAUGCUCUGUCUCUCUCUGUCCCAAAAAUAAAUAAAAUUUGAAAAAAAAAAAUUAAAAAAAUAAAAAUAAAAAAAAUAAAAAAAAAAAACUGUCCACUGUUUCUUAAUGAACACUUUCCUAAUUUUUCUCAGCGAGCACUAGGUUCUGUAAGUUAUAAGUACCUCCCAAGGCACAGUGAGGAACACAAGAAAAAUAAGAUUCAGACCCUAUUCUCAAAGAACUUAGACUCUAUUUGGAAAUUUCAAGCAGUGCACAUUGAAUCAUGGAUCCGCUCUAAGACAGCAUUCAAGCAGGUACAGGAGACCUGAUCCACACUCUGGGGGUGACGUUCAAAGAAGGCGGUAGGCCCAGCAGGGGUGGAAGGGACAAGGAAGGGUUCCCACAGAAGAUGGACACCAGAGAGGCCUGAGAGGCGGCGCAACAGAGGGGAGGCAAGAAGACACAGGCAGAGCAGAAAUUAGCAUCGUGUGUCUUGGGAUCAAGAAGAAAAAUCUGUGCUUUCUGUAACCGCAGGAUAGUUACGAGGGGGUCACGGGGAAUGCUGUUUGAGUAAGUGGGGGAAGCUGGGACCUCCAGGCUUUCGGAAACUCAAGCACAGGGAGGUCGGGAGGCUGGCCGCGGGUGACGAAGCCGGCCACGGCCCAGAUACUGGUGGAGAAUGGAAAAACCACUUUGCUGACAGGCCUUUGCGCCACUCCCUUCCACGGAACUGGUCCAGGAUGGCCGCAGAGGAGCUCACGGAAGAGAAUUUCAAAGAGGUUGUUGAUAAGGCUUGGAGACGGAGCUGAUUUCGGGCAGGGGCAGAAGAGGGUGUGGAGGAUGACUCCAAACCUGCGAAUAUGCCUCAUUUCCGCCAACUGGAGCAGGACUCGGGCUUGGGAGAAGAUGACAAAUGCCUAGAUCGGAAGACGAAGAACACUCCAGACGCAGCUGGGGUAGCCUCAGGGCAAGGAUCAGAGCUGUCCGGUCCUCCCCAGCCCCCAGGGUUAGGCAAGGAUGGCAGGAGGUGUGCGAAAGCUGCGGGGGUGCCCCGUGGGGCUGAGCACGGGAGGGGGCGGGGGAGGGGGGAGAAGGGGGGCGGGGCACAGAGUUCUGGGCGCUGGGGAGACUCACUCCGUCACUCCCCCCCCCCCCCCCCCCAGAGAGCAGUGUAUGCAUCUGUGCUGCAGAGCACUGCUCCUUGGCUCUCGUGGCCUCUGUGGCCUCAUUCAGGGAGCACGACCCGCUCACACGCGCACGCCAGGCACCGUGCGGGGUCCAGGAGCUCAUGGGGGAUGGGGGGGGGGGCUCUCAGUCUCCCGGGGAAGGCAGAGAUAAGCAGAUGUGGGGAUCCGAAAAUACGAGCCGUCGCUCCGAGAAAAGCAUCCGAAGCAGCCUCCUCGGGUAUUUCCUGGGGGUGCUGUGUUGAAUUGGCAUUGAAGGGGGCAAAGACUUCAGAGCACUGACCGUCCUUCAGCAAUUCUUGGCAGGAGCAGAGGGUGGCAUGAUUUAGGGUGAGAAGUCUGUGUCUCAAAGUUCAGCAUAUAAGAGUCUAGGGCUGUCGUCACAGCAGCUUGAGGAAGUUAACCAGGGUAGCCCCUGGGAGGCUAAGACAGACGAGGGUAGUCCCCAGCUUAGGCGCCGGGAUGCGUUCCCACAUCCCCAGUGGAUGCCCCAACCCCACGGAUGGUACCCAGCCCCAUCUAUGCUAUGUUUUUUCCUACCCCAUACAUCCCUAUGAUAAACACAUACUUCCUUUAUAAAUUAGGCACAGUAAGAGCUGAACAGCGAUAACUAAUAAUAAAAUCGAAUAACUAUAAGCCUAUACUGUAAUAAAAGUUACGUGAAUGUGAUCUCAUUUUCAAAAUAUCUUAUUGUACUUCCUGCGAGGAUGUGAGAUGAUAGAAUGCCUAGGAGGUGAGAUGAAGUGAGGCGAGUGAGGUGGGCUUGUGACCUGGGAUGUGUCAGGGGGCUCAUUUUCUUCCCAACUGAUUGACGGCAGGUAAUGAGCCGGGAAAAGUGAAAACACAGGACUGUAUAGCACAUGCUCUUUGAGCCGGGAGCUGAGUCUUCAGGUUCCAUGGUGUAGCGGUUAGCACAUCUGCCUUACACGCAGAAGAUCCUGGGUUCGAUUCCCAGUGGAACCACAAGCUUGUCUUAGUUUCCAUUUAAAGCUGGAGGAUGAAAAUGGGCGCGUUUUCAUCUUUGGCAAUCAGGAUCUUUUUAAAUACGAUUUCAUGGGUAUGUGCAAAUGUCCCGAAGUGCAGAUUUUCUUUUCAUCAACUUACGGCACAGAGACCCAGCUGAAAUCUCAGCUCGAAGGUCCCCAGCUCCGGGCCCAGAUGUUCCUGAUCUCUGUCCAGCAAGGAUGACAGGCACUCACAGCACGGAGGGGAGCCAGGAGCCCCCUGUCCAGGGCCAGUCCUGGGGGCCGUAUGGCACUAUGACCUCUUCUCCCUGAGGUUCCUCUGACUUCACCCCUGAGAUAUCCUGAGUCCUAGAUGCACUGCUGUGCCUAGAAUGUGAGGUACGGAGAGAGGAAGACGUUCGGCCGAGUCAGGAAUAGCCUGGGUUUUGACAUCAGAGUCUGGAUUCCAAUUCUGCCUCCACAGUGCCAUUAGCCAUGUGGUCUUGGACACGCUCUUUGCCGUGGUUCUGUCCCCGUGUGUCGACUAGGCAUAAGCAAAGCACCGGCAUCACGAGGAGUUUGUGCACGCUGGACGAGAUGAUUAUGGAAAGCGCUUAGCACUGGCUCCUGCCUACUGCUAAGUAGGCGCUCAACGGGCAGCCCUCGGUCUCGGAGUGUGGCUCCCCUCCCCGUGUUCUGUGUGAGCUAGGACCCAACAGCUCUGCCUGUACCCUUCUUCCCUUCUCUCCGGCGACACAGCUCCAAUACCGGCUACCAGAAUACGAACCCUCGUUAACAGGUGGCAUCACCUCUGAGGUACCUCCGCAGUGCGGCCUGAACCCCACUCUGCCCCCCACCGUGUUGUUCUCCCGCUAAUGUUCUGGUUAAUCCAACCGCUUGAGCAGAAGUGUCACCUCCCACGCUGUCCCACAUACCACCCACCGGAAGAUGGGGAGGCGGGAUCACGGCAGCCCAGAGGUCUAUCUUGCCCGACAAGUCCUGUAGGAGAGCCCACAAAAGAAAGAGGCUCUUUGCCACAGGAGAUUUAUUAUUACUAUUAUUAUUAUUUUGCCGACAGGCUCAGAAUUUAAAUAUAGGACGCUGAAUGGCCAGAACCUCGGCCCAGCCCUGAGCGCCUCCGGGCAUGUUCCUGAACCAAGAAUUCGAGUUUCUGCCCAGUGGGCUCACCGUCUGAACUUUCUAUUUCUAAAAUCGCAGUUCUUGGUAGCCAGCACACAUUCUGAGCCACAAAAUUCUGAGAAUUGUUGCACUCGUCAGCUGCUAAGUCACGUGUCCCUCGGCCUGGUCCCUUCUCCUAUCAUAACAGGACUUGUGUUAGAGUCUAUGAAUUUCCCUGUCACAUGAAAAUUGGCAUCCCUUAUAAUACCAUAAUCGCCCAGAAAUCCACCGUCAGGCCUGUCAUAAUUAAUCCAUUUUCAGGAUCCCUCAGGGUCUCCAAAUACAAUGACUGGUGGCAAAUUAAUAGAUCCUUUGGAUCGUCUCCUUUCGCUUCAGCAAAGAACUGACCCCGUGAUGGAAAUUUAGUUUAAUUAGGACAAUCGCUCAUAUUUAAAGAGUGCCUCACAGCAAAGAAGCCCCCCAGAUUCCAUCUCUUAAGCUUCGAAGCCGCACCUCACGUGACUUCGAGCCAACUUUCAGGGAACAGGUACGUUCGUCCCCAUUUGCUGCCCGUUGACAAGCAAGAAGAUAUUCACAAAGCUUGGGAUUCCCGCUUCGGUGUUGACUUUUGUCGCUUCAGCUUAUGUGUAUGAACUAUCGGCGGCACAAAAAUAUAUAUGGAAUGGUUUUUUGUUUUUUUUUUUUUGAGUACCUACUUCAUGAAUAGGGUAUCCUGUGUACACGGUGAGGCUGUAAAUAGACUUCAGUAGUGGAGCGCUGGAGUGGACAAAUAUAGAAUGUAGCCUGUGGUCAGCAAUGCCACACACACUCCCUCAGAGAGCCCCAUGCUGGUAUGUUAGCUGGUCUGUCUGGAAGCUUUUUUUUUUUUUUUUGGUUUAGGUUCAGUGAUAGUACAAAGAGCCUUGUGUUAUGGUCUCAACACUACUAUUUAUACCCCAUGACCCAUUAAGCACUGAUUCCUUGGUUGGGGUUCUCCCAACAGCUCGAGAAAAGAAACAGGGAAAAAAAUAGCCUGACUGGAAAAAAAAAAAAAGGAGUUCUCAUUUACAGUCCUUGAGUCAAGAAUUUGGUAACAUGACCCCGGCCAAAGCCUUCGGAGGCCUCGUAUCAGAUGUUGUUAUUUUUGGGUGGCUUGAAAAUACGCCUGGUUGAGGCGUGGGCACCCGAGUGGCUGUCGCAGGAAGCAGGAGCCAGAGUGGGCCCGGGGCUCUGUCCCCGAGAAAGUCCCCGGGCGGGGCCCGGGGGGCAGCCAGCUGCCGGGCUGGCCCCGGGCCUCACAAGAGGAAUCGGCAGCUUGGCCAGAGGAGAACUUCACCUUCCCUCAGUCAGCCUCCCUCCCCUGCAGAGGGGUGUCAGACCUCAACAUUCCUCUCUUGGUCUCUCAAAGGCAACUGGACACUCUUUGCCUUGCCCCCCCCCCGCCCCAGCACCUUAGGACCUGAACCUCCGUGGAGUCCGACACACCCCUCCCCCGCCUUCCCCCAGGGGACUUCAUUUUCUUUCAACAGGGCAUUUCCCCUGAAAAGUGAAUUGCCUCCCCUGUUCGGGAAGAAUGCCCGCUGGAGAUAUUUUUACGCUCCGUCUGCAGCGGGUGAAAGGGAAGCCCGGCUGAAGUGAUUCCCCGGUAAUGCGCUCCCCGAGCCCCACCGUGCUGUGCCAGCGUCCGAACGGACACGCUGCCCACGUUCGGGAACGCGGCUCGCUUGGCCUGUCCCGCCGCACCUCCCUUCCAGCCUGUCGUGACCAGCACACACGCGUGCUUGCACACACCCGUGUGCACCCGUGCACGUGCACACACAUGCACGUGCACACGCGUGCGCGCACGCACACACACACGCGCGCGCACACACACACACACACACACACCUGGCUCAGAGGCCAGAUAGAUGGUUAGCUGCUGUGUUGUGGCCUUCUAGUACAUAUUUGGAAACUAUUCUAGGGGAGCAUGAAGGGGACGUGUGGCCCCCUCUUCCGUGAAAAUAACUAAGAAAGAUCUCAAAUAAACUGUCCCGAGCGCACUCUGGAGUGGAAGACAGGAAGCCGAAACUCUCUGCUUGCAUAAUUCACGUGCCCUCAGAGUUACCUUAGUUGAAAAGGUCUUUAAAAUAUUUAGACCCGAUUCCUCUUCCUAUGAAAAUCGAUGCUUGGCGGCCUAUGAAUCCUGUAAAGUAGGCGACUGUCCAUUCUUUUCUUUUAAUUUUUUUAAAUGUUUAUUUAUUUUUGAGAGACAGAGAGAGUGCAAGUGGGAGAGAGGCAGAGAGAGAGGGAGACACAGAAUCCGAAGCAGGUUCUAGGCUCUGAGCUGUCAGCACAGAGCCUGAUGAGGGGCCUGAACUCACGAACUGUGAGAUCACGACCUGAGCCGAAGUCGGAAGCUUAGCCGACUGAGCCACCCAGGCGCCCCAGGGUCCAUUCUUGGCACAAGUGUUAGUGCCUCCAAGAUGGCUUCUGACUGAUCUGGCCCCACAGGCCUGUGUGCACCCACCGGCCCUCCUUAUGGAAAUUCAACUUGUCCUUUCUUGUAGCUCAAAUCCCGCCUUCUCUGUACAACUUUCCACCGGGCCCCACGGUAAAGAUGGGUGUUGUCCCAUCUCUGAACGUUCCGUGUUUGAGCUGGGCCUGGCUGGUUGAGGAGGGGUUAGCGGGUCAACGAGAUGGCUAGAGGAUGCAAUCGUGACGAGCCAAGGGCGGUGUUGCACAAUCCAGAGAGGCGGAAAGAUGCGUUAGGUUGUGGGAAAGAAAACGUGGGGAGAGCUGGGUUGGAGAAAUAACAAACCCGAAUUUCAGGUGUUGUCAGCCACGUGAAGGGGGUUGGCUUUAAUUGAAAGACAACAGGAAGCCGUGGUUUUAAGUCGAAGCGUGAGUGGAUGUUGCUUGCGUCCAAGGGGUAUAACUAACGUGGCAGCCCAGAAGUGUUUGUGGGUGCAUAAAUGAAUACCGGAUAACUGUUGUGGAGGGCUCAGAGAACCUCUGUGACAGUGUUAGUUCAUGUUACAUCUUCCCAUUGGGAAGUUGUUGUGGUCUGAAUGUCUGUGUCCUCCCUACAUUCACAUGUUGAGGCCCUAAACCCUCAACGUGAUGGUAUUUGGAGGUGGGGCCCUUGGAAGGAAUUAGGUUCAGAUGAGGCCAUGAGGGUGAGGCCCCAAGGGUGGGAUUAGUGUCCUCAUAAGAAGAGCAAGUGAGUGAGACCAGAGCUCGCUCGAAUUCUCUCUCGCUCCCCAUGCCACAGGAAGACACACUGAGAAGGCGGCCAUCUGCAAGCCAGGAAUUGGGCCCCUCCCCAAAACCGAAUCUGCCGGCACCUUGACCUUUGACUCUUGGCCUCCAGAACUAUGCGAAAUAAGUGUCUGUUGUUUAGGCACACUGCAGUAUUUUGUUAUAGCAGCCUGAGACAACUAAUACAUAAGCCAUCCGAAAUGCAUUAAUAUAAAUAAAAGUUAUUUUGGGGGGGCACUUGGGUGACUUAGUUGGUUAAGUCUCCCAACUCUUGAUCUCAGCUCAGGUCUUGAUCUCCGUGUCCUAAGUUCGAGCCCCAAGUUGAGCUCUGCGCCGGGCUUGAAGCCUACUUAAAACAAAAAAAGUUACUUUUCUAUCAAGAACUCAGUUCCUCAUCAAAAUACGCAUAGUAUGCGUGGACGCAGACCUGAAGACCUGUGUGUUGCUUAUUCUCAAAAAGACCGAUCUCAUCUCAUCUCUCUAACAGAUAGAUUGGGCUCGUCAGCAGCCUCCCAAAACUCAGCAGAGGCAUGAAUCUACCGUCUCUGGUGCGGAACGGUCAAACAUUUUUCAGUCCGUCCCAGACAAGAUAUUAUGGGGCUUAAGAUGAAUUAAUGUGAAUUUAAUCCACGACAAUUUUCGGCCAGUAAUGUGCUUUUCAGCCUUCAUACUGCCAAGUGUAGGCUUUGUGGGGUUUUGGCUUAGCAUUGCUUGGGCUCACGAGUGUAGUGUGGGAUGACGAAUUGCCAUAUUCCUCUGGAGAACGGUGUAGUUUGUCUUUAUAGUGGUGCUAGGUGUAUGGCAAUGGUAUGUCAACACAAUUUUAUUUCUCAGCCCCAGAUAUUUUCUCUCCCCUACCAGGUUGUCCAGUUUUCUUAGGAACUUUUUCUUAGACUUGGCUCCUCCAGCGGAUUCUUGAUGGUCUGGUUAUAGUUUGGAGAGUACAGCUCUCAGAUCCAAGAGAUUGGUACCUUAUAAAUUGUUUCUUCAAAGACUUUAGGAAGAAGAAACUCACUGUUUUCAUUCCCUAGAACCAAUGUACUUGAAUUCUUUCUGCACCUGCCACAAAAAUAUGGAGUAUGUUGUAUGAAAUAUGUUGUCGGUAUAUGUAAUUUCCUAAGAAGGAAGACUUAUAAAUCUGUGCCUCUCUCGCCUAAUAACUUGCAGUGCCAAGAGAUGGUUUCCACCCAAUGCAAUCGAAAGUCAGAGCGCAGAAAGGAAGGAAAGAUCACAGGCAUUCAUUAUGAUGCCUGUCUGAUGAGGAAUGCCUAGGACGGUGUCUGGGGAUUCUGGAAACUCAGGUGAGACUACAUGCCUUAGCCUCUAACUCUGAAUUUGGAUACUUCUGCUGUGGCCAGUAAGGUCUGGAGCCACCCAAGGUGUGUGCGUAGCCUUGCACAAAACUCCAGAAGCUUUAUUAUUCCUGAAGCACCCUUUCUGAAACCUGUGUAUUGUUCCACGUUUCAUUUUUUUUAGGUAGAGAGAAGGUUGACCUGAGCAAAAAUAAAACUUCCCUCUUUAAAACCAAACAACCAAAAAAAAUACACGCAAACAAACAAACAAACAAGCAACCUAAAGGAAAAAUGCAAGUCUCUGCUAUCCCUAAGAACUCUUCUUUUCAGCAGCAUUAGAGAGGAGAGGUGGAGGUCACUGGAUUUCCUGCCCCUCAUGUCCCUGGCUUGGUCCAGUGCCGUUGAAGUCCUUUCUCUUCCGAGUGGUUGUCUGCAAGUUCGGGGGGCAAAGCACAGGAAGGGAUUCAGUUUUCUAAGCCUGAAAGAAAGGCACAUCUGGGUCAGAUGCAGCUAUGAGGAAGGCAUCCCUUUAAAUGUGUUUGCUCAGGCCCACCUUCCAGCUCUCUCGAUCCCCAACCCCUCCUCUACAGAGGCUCAUGUCCAUUUCCUCCCCUCCACUCCCUGUCUGCCUGUCCCCUCCGCAAAGCCUCCCAGAGUGCUCUCCACCCCCACAGGCAAUCACCAUCCUCAUGACUGAGCCCGUGCGUCCCGCGACAGUCACAUGUACUUCGGGGUGAUGUUUGUAAAAUCAGCUAAAAUGGUUCUUGAAAGCUAAAGACCACCAUCAACUCUUCACCUUAUUCAUAAAAUCCUGGGCUGGCCUUCAUAGAGCUCUGCUGGUUGGUGCUUCCCAACCCUCUGUGUGCCUGUCAGUCGCCCGGGGCACCUGUUAUAUUCCGGGUUCUGAGUCAGUAGGUCUGUGGCACUGGGUGAGAGUUCUUGAUGUUAAAACCCAAGUCAGGCACAGGUGGAGCAGAAGUGUAACGGAGGCUCGUGGUGGCUCCACUUAAAGAGAGUUUCGAGGCUCCUGGGUGGCUCAGUUGGUUAAGUGUCCGACUUCAGCUCAGGUCACAAUCCCAUGGCUCCUGAGUUCGAGCCCUGCGUCCGGCUCUGUGCUGACACUGCGCGUCCUUCUUCGGCUCCUCUGUCUCCCUCUCUCUCUGCCCGUCCCCUGCGUGCUCUCUCUCAAAGAUAAAUAAACGCGAAAGAAAGAAAUAGAGUUUCACCCCAGCUUCUUCUGAGGGCUUCUUCCCAGCUAUCCAUUGACGUUUUUAUGUCCCUCGAGGCUCGCUUCCAAUCUGGCACACCCCUACGAGAAUGCCAGAAUCCUCUCAAAGGCCGGAGAGCGAUGACGUACCCAGCGGCACUGGCCACUGCAGAGAGGAGGCGUUCUGAUCAUGAGCUGCUUUUAUCUGGAGCUCACUGACCAAGCGGUUCCACGUCCCCGGGGAGCAUUUGAUGGACAGCGCUGCCUUUAGAAAGUGAUAGAACUUUUCUGUUGGCAGAAUUUGUAUUAAAACCUCAAGACGCUCGGUUCUUUUCAUCUCCGCUCCUCCUAAUUUAUAAGACAAAGCCUAAAGUGCUUGAUCUGUAAAAUGCAUCUGGCCAACGGCAGGCAGACUUCAGGAGAGCCUCCUCGGCCAGGUAGCUUUCAUCUUAAGGGAUGUACAGAGCCAGGGAGCCAGGCCUGACAUGCAGAUGAUUAGGUAGUAGCAUAAAUCAUACGAAAUUGGGCCCCAAUCCAUCAUUCUUACUUUCAGAAAAAACAAAACAAAACAAAACAAAACAACUUUCUAAAUAAAUAACAUGUUUUCAGUCUGAAACUAACAUGAUCCCAAACCAUUUUAAAAAUAGAAUAAAAGAAAAGGAAAAAGAAAAAACUCGCUCCAGUACAUUAAUAACCACUGUUAAAUGCAACAAUUAUCAGCAUUUCGUUGUAAUAUUCUUUUUGCUUUUCCUGUGUGUCUGUUUUCAUGUGUAGACUAAUUUUUCCAUAAUUCUGACAUACGAUAUGUGUCAUUUUAUAUGCUUCUUUUUUUCACUCACUGUUUUAUCUGUCAUAAGUAUUCUCCAUGUGAUUAUAGCCUUUAUCGCCAUCAUUUCCAUGUGCUGCAAAUUACUCCAUUGAAUGGUUAUACCAACGUUUGUUAAUUCAGUUAUUAAUGCGGCUAAACGUAUUAGGCAUUUAAGCUGUUUCGAAAGCUUUACAAAUACAGUUGGGGCAAAAAUGUAAUUUAUCAAGUGUCUGCAUACAGAAUACAGUGUGUUUCAAUAUUUUAAUGAGCUUGAAGUCCAUAACAGAUGUAUUGAUCCAGAUUAUAUGUGUAUGUGUAUAUAUAUAUAAAUGCUUACUUGUAUGUGUGUGUAUAUAUAUAUAUAUAUAUAUAUAUAUAUAUAUAAAUGCUUACUUAUUUUUGAGAGAGACAGAGACAGAGUGUGAGCUGGGGAAGGGGCAGAGAGAGGGAGACACAGAAUCUGAAACAGGCUCCAGGCUCUGAGCUGUCAACACAGAGCCUGACACUGGGCUCGAAGUCACGAGCCCUGAGAUCAUGACCUGAGCCGAAGUUGGAUGCUUAACCAACUGAGCCACCCAGGUGCCCCGAUCCAGAUAAUGUUUUUAAAAAUGUAUUUAUGAGAGAGAGAGAGAGAGAGAGAGAGAGAGAGAGAGGAUCCCAAGCAAGCAGGCUGAGCACUGUCAUCACAGAGCCUGACUCGGGGCUUGAACUCACAAACCGGGGGAUUGUGCCCUGAGCAGAAAUCAGGAGUUGGACGCUUAACCAGCCGAACCACCCAGGUGCCCCAGAUACAGAUAACUUUAAAGAGGUAUAUAACAGGUGACACAAUUAAAGCAUUUAUCAAGGAUCUCGAGGAAGCCAACAGGGAACAGACAUGGCCUGUCAGCCUCUGCCACGGAGAGGGCGUGGGAAGGGGAGAAGAGGCAGGGAUGGUUGCAGAGAGAUUUGGAGUCCCAGGGGCCAGGGUGAGCGACCACCACUCACCUGGACGUCACCCCAUGCCCAUGGGUCAGUGACUUCCCUCCCUGCGUCCCAGCCUCCCCACCUUUUUUUUUUUUUUUUUGAGAGAGAGAGAGAGCAAGAGAGCGAGUGAGCAUGAGCAGAAGAGGAGCAGAGAGACAGGAAGACGCAGAAUCCGAAGAAGGCUCCAGGCUCUGAGCUGUUAGCACAGAGCCCGACGCUGGGCUCGAACUCAGGAACCGUGAGAUCAUGACCUGAGCCGAAGUCGGACGCUUAACUGACUAAGCCACCCAGGUGCCACCCCAGCACCCCCUUCAUGUAAAUCAGAUCGGUGCCUACCUCAAAUGACUGUGGCAAGGAUUAAGGGAAUCCACAAAGUUCUUAGUAGGAUACGUGUCCUGGUGCGCAUACUCAACACGGUCAGAAAACACCAUUGGGGCAGCGAUCACAGGCAUCGGGAGCUGCCUCCUCCUGCCGUUCACCAGGUCUGCUGCUCUGGUGCCACAUGUCUAGUUAUUUAAAAGCCGUAAAUGAGGCCAAUAAGCCAUUUAAAAAAUGUUUUAUCCUCCCACCUUGAUAUGCCUUCAUGACACAAAACAGAAGACUCUUUAUAGAGAGGCGCCUGGGUAUCUCAUUGGGUUCAGUGUCCGACUCUUGACUUCGACUCAGGUCAUGCAUGAUCUCACGGCUCGUGAGAUCGAGCCCUGCGCUCAGCUUUGUGCUGACAGCACGGAGCCUGCUUGGGAUUCUCUCUCUCCCUCUCUCUCUGCCCCUCUCCCGCUCUCUCGCUCUCUCUCUCUCUCACUCUCAAAAUAAAUAAAUAAACUCUCUCGCUCUCUCUCUCACUCUCAAAAUAAAUAAAUAAACUUUAAAAAAGGGAACAUAUUUAUAGAGCUGUGGUUUUUCUAUGACUAAAAAGUAGCAAAAUAUGGAAGGAGGAGGAAUAUGAUCCUUUGUAAGCCUGUCUGGGAUGUUGUUUGGCAAAGCGUUGGUUGGAUGACUAAAGAAUAAAGACAUAAAUUUAUAAUUUUUUAAAUGUUUAUUUAUUUUUGAGAGAGAGAGAGACAGAGUGUGAGCAGGGGAGGGGCAGAGAGAGAGGGAGACACAGAAUCCAAAGCAGGUUCCAGGCUCCGAGCUGUCAGCACAGAGCCUGACUCGGGGCUCGAACUCACAGACUGUGAGAUUAUGACCUAAGCCAAAGUUGGAUGUUUAACCGACUAAGCCACCCACAUGCCCCAAGACAUAAAUUUAUAAAUUAUUAUAUAUUUAUUUAAUAAAAUUCAUCUUCUUACCUUCAUUUCAGUAAAAUCGUUAAUUAUAUUCUUAUAAUCAAGAGUUUCACAAUCUGUGUUCCAGUGAUAGCAACAAUCUAACAGAUUAAAAAUAAAUGUAAUUAUAUUAAAAUAUACAAAAUUGUAAUAUAUUUUAAUCAACAUGUAGAUUAGCAUCAAUGUGAGAAGCUAAAAAUUUAAUUAUUUUAGAUAUGUUUUCACAAAACUAAUUUUUAUUCCAAAAUAUUCAAAAUUAUCCAUUGUAACUGAAAUGCAAAUACAAAUUACUUACUGAAUAUGAAAAGUUAAAAUAAAAUUAUUUAAGUAGAUCUGAAGAUUUUUAGAAGAUUUUUUUUAGUAUAUAAUUACAUCUCAGUGUGUAUUUUUAUAAAAAUAAAACUAUUUGCAAUUCUAGUAAAAUUUGUUUAGCUGCUAAUGUCGAGAACUGCUUUUACACAGGUGCACCCGGGUGGCUCAGUCGGUUAAGCGUCUGACUCUUGGUUUCGGCUCGGGCCAUGAUCUCAAGGUUCGCGAGUUCGAGCCCCACGUUGGGCUCUUUGCUGACAGGGGAGCCUGCUUGGGAUCCUCUCUCCCUCUGUCUCUACCCCUCCCCUGCUUGCACUCUUUCAUGCUCUCUCAAAAUAAAUAAAUAAACUUUAAAAAAAAAAAAAGAACUGCUUUUAUACAUCACAUAUAUCUAUCUAGGACUAUAUUUGUGUAUAUAAGUAAUGAAAUAUGAAUUAUGUGGUAUUGCAAAAUGUAUGCGCAAUUGUCGGGUAUCCUGUGUGUAAUUUUUUAGCACCCCAGGGACCCUGGGUUGGAAUGUGAAGAGAAGAAAAUGGACUUUCAGCUCUACUGGGAAAUAGUUAUUGAUCACGCAAGAAUUUAUUACAUCUUUGCUAGAGGAGGGGAGAAUUAACAAGGAAAAGAUUUUGUGUUUCCUCUUCUCCCGGCAUUUCUGCUGCUUGAAUUCUCUCUACGCCUCGGAGUCAUGAGUCAUGGUCAUUUCCAACGUCAGUAGUAGUGCGAACACACCUUCUUGGCACUCGGUACUCGGAUGCAGGGCCUUUUACUUCAAGGCCAGAGAUGCAGGAGGUGUCCCUGGGGCCUGAGCGGUAUUGGUCACAAGAGCGGAUCUUUAGGAUUAUCGGUUGUCAUGCCUGCAUUGAAGCAAAAAUGGGCCUCAAGUCAUGCUUGCACGCACGCGCGCGCGCGCGUGUGUGUGUGUGUGUGUGUGUGUCCAGGAUCAGAGACUCUCUUGCAAAGGCACCUCUCCAAUAAAGAAACACAGGACAUCGUGCACAGAUAUUUCUUGGGAUAGAUUUUCCACAGUGUGCAAAUCCUUCUUAUAAAUACCAUUAACCACAGUCGUUCCCUCACUGACUUUGAAUCUAUUCUAGAGUCCCGUGCCCACCCUGCAGGGCUUGACGUUUAAAACACUGUGUCCUGUGUCCGUUUUGACAAUUUAUUAGAAAAGGUAGAGGAGAGAAGCUCCCUCCUUUCUCACCACCAGGACCCAUUCCAGAAUUCGACAGCCCCCGGAAUCAGAGCAGCCCGUUGGCGGGAAGGCCCCAAGACCUAGAGCCCGGAGGAGGAAGGAUAGUCAGCAGGUCCAGAUGCGGCUCUGAGCCACCACUGUGUUCAUUAAGAAACUCUUCGAAACUUGCCCCUUUUUUUCGUUAUCUCUGAAGCUCUGAGGACUUUCCUUCCUCCCAGAAGCUUCCAGGCAUUUGUCAGGGGAACAAGACUCCUAGGAAUUUAGGGGAAGUGUGUUUGGAUGUGAGGCCACUGUUCUGACAGCCUGGGCUGGGAGAAACUGUUGGUGCCGUCUGCGGAGCUGGGGCUCGGAGCCCGGGAGAGCAUCGGACAUCAACCUGAACUGGCCCGCGGAGGGGAUCGGAGCCCACACAUCCAGGCCCCGAGUCCCACGCCACAAGCCAGGAGGAGCGGCCCGGUGUCCAGUCGUCUAGAAAAAGGCAAAAGGUAGUGCACGAGGCUUUGAAUUCAAUCAAUUCUUCCGUCAAAUAAGUCACAAUUCUCCUAAAAAUCGUUUAUACCUUUACCCCUGGCUUAUCUCAGAUCUCUAGCCUAUGCUGUUUGAAUACCAUCAUUUCAAAAUGGCAGGUUUUUCUUCUCAUUCGUUUAAAGCAGUGACCUCAUUUCCCUCCGCGCUACCUUAGCUUUCAAAUCACCCUUCUCCCGAGGUACGUUUAAGGGCAGCGUCUCAAUACACUGCGUGUUGCUUUAUGUGUGAUAUAACUAAAUAAUUAUAUCCUAUAACGUUGAUACAGAUGGCUUUCAGGAAUAUAAAGACUGACGGAAAGGCAGGGAGGAGGGGAAGAGAAUCAAUCUACGUUUCCCCUGGGAGAUGGUAAGUCAUUUCGGUGAAUCUCUCUUGAGAGCCCACUGUGUGUCUGCCACUGUCCUAACGCUCAGAUCGGUUGUAUAUCUUCUCCCGAGCUGCUCGUAAUCUUGGAGGGAAGAGAAACCACGUAUACCAACGACUGUGAAUGAAGGGAGACCGAGCUGAAGUUAUGAGAGAAAGAUAGUUCAAACCGUCGGCAGCUCUCUGUAUGGAUCAGGAAGUUUCGUGAUGGGUGUCUGAACAAAGGCGUAGGAGCGACGUCCCAGGGGCCAGGAAGUGUCGGCUGCCUCGGGAACUCAGCCGUGUCGGAUAGGGUUCGAGAUGCCAGGCUGACACGCGUGGCUUCCUUUGGUGGGCAGCGGGGAGCACAAAGGUGGUUAAGCAGGGAGGAGUCUGAUGAGAGCUUCCUUUAGGAAGAUAAAUCUGCCAGCAAAGUAGACAACAGAUUCAAGUAAGAAGAAGCAGGAGAUUGAGAGGCCUGUCGGAAUGUGUGAUGGGGGCUUGACAUGGAAGAAAUGAGGGUCUGAGCUAAGAGGGAAGACAGGACACUGGCCAAAGACUUCUGGAUCUACCGGUAGGGACACACUCCCAUCUUCAAGGCCGAAUGAUACUCCUACACCCGCCCACGUCUGUUUCUGUUAUGCUUUAUGCACAUCAGUUGCAGGUGUGGACUGUGUCGAGAACCUGACCAGUGUGACUUACGUCCCAGGUUGGGACACUCCAGGCAUUGUCAGGGUUAAAAGAAGUGUCGCAGGAAGAACACAGCUCUCUUGUUGGCUGUGGGUGUAGGUGAGUCCCACAAACACUGUAACCAACACCAGAAAAUUCUAGCGAGCCGAAAGGAAAAAUGAAAUGAGCCAAUAGGCACACAGCGGUGCCAAAGGCCAGGUGGGCAGGAAAACUGAAACCCUGGGAUGGGUUUGAGACCACAGCCUGCACGAGACCUCCCUUUGUCAUCAGGACAUGAAGCCUUGCUCAGCGACGUUUGAUUAACUUCUGCGUCAGGCGGGAUUCCUGGGAAUCUGGGUCUGAGGCUGUAAGGUGCACACAGGACAUUUAUCAGGGAAUGCUCUCGGGACUAACGCCCGCUGGGCGGGGGGGGGGGGGGUGGAGGAAGCCGAAGGGGGGACAGGGAGGGGUGUGGAAAUGUGAAGUAGUUGCGAUAGCUCUGGAGUCAGGAUGGUCCUUAGGGCUUGACCCCAGCUGAGGCCAGAAGGCUGGACCUGUAUCCCCCAUCCAUUACUCGGUGGCCGCCGCUGUUCCCCAGAAGGGUGGAGGGGGACCUUGGUGACUCCCAUCGGGCAGGGGUGGUUUCUGGAGGGAGUUUCAGCUGUGAGCCCUCGGCAGCCAACGCUUCCAGCAGCAGGGGGGAAUAAGAGCCUCCAUCCUGGAGGAGAGAUCUCAGAGGCAGGCCACGGCAUCUCCAGCAUCAUCUGCUUUCUGGGGAUUUGCCUCGUCUGUUGGGAGACUCUUGGGGUGCAGGCCGGCCGAGGGAACGCUGUCACCUAGAGCUCUGGGCUCGUCCAAGCCGACACAUGGUGCAAAGCCAGCAGCUGAGGGACACAGAAUGGCAAGGCCAGAGCCUCCGAGAGGGCCCAGCCGCGUGACCUUGGGCACACGACUUCAUCUCUUUGUCCCUCAGUUUCUCCAUUUGUCCAAUAGGGACAAAAUUAGUACUUACCUCAUGAGUUCUUGCAAGACUAACUGAGACAGUGCACGCGAAGCGCGUCACACUGGCCCAUCAUAUGCAAGGAUCUGUGGACAGUGGCUGGUAGAACGUUCAUUGCUGCUAAUCAUUUCGCAAACUUGGAGAAAGGCCUGAGACGAAUGUUGAGAGCCCAAGUCCUCAUCCAAGAGGUCUAAGAGUUAGGGAAGUCGGAUCCAUCCCGGAAGCGAGAGGUAGGUUUGCGCAAGGCGGGGAGUCCUGACAGAUACCCAGCCCGGGACUAUUGGCCCUUGACUUUCACAUGUUUGUUUUCAACUGGGUGAGACUUGGCAGAGACAGCCCUACCGACAAGACAAGAGCGAAACCACAUAUUUCUGGUGAAAAAGUUGUUGCCUUCUUCCUUCUGCCCUAUUCCUUUAGUUAGGUUUAAUGGCAAGCUUAGCCUUCCCACUGAGUUUUCUUCUCCCUUGAACUUGAAAUCCUGGCUUUGCCACCUGUCACCUGUAUGGCCUUGUGAAAGUCACAGAACCUCUCUGAACUUCAGUGUCCUUGUCCUUAAAAUGAGACGGAUAAUACUCGAUCUCCCUUGGUGGUUGUGAGAUUCGAAUGAGAUAUUUGGAAGCAGUGCGCAAAUUGUAAAACACAAUGUAGAUGUCACGGUUAUUGGGGGUGUUCUGCUGACUGCUUUUUCUUCUCUUUUCUCUCUCUCUCUCUCUCUCUGGAUAUGGUGUUCAUGACCAAUAGAGAGGCUGGGGAGGACAGCCACAGGUUAAUGAACGCAAAAGAGUGAAAAGCCCCUGGUGAAACUGAUCUGACAAGAGCUUUCUUCUCUGAGCAAGGACGACGCUAUCUUUUGUCCCUUCAUAUACGAAGGGGCUUUUUUUGUGCCAGAGUCUGUCCGAGGCCCUUAAGGUCUAGAGAGAGAAGACCUCCAUUAUGUCAGGGUAUUCAUGUCAUCUGUUUUGUCAUGUGUGUUAGAUUAUUUUUCCAUUGGUCGCAAAAGAUUUGCACACGUUCACCCGCACUCUAUCUCCUGGCCCCUAAACCAUCUAGCUAAAGCCCUCAUGGGAACAGUAAGACCCUCCCAGGCCUAUGACAUCCUUAAUUCUUGCCACACUCAGUGUGGCAGCAACCUUUGACGGAACACCUCACUUCACGUGCAGUGCUACCCACACCCAACACAUGUUUAACUUAAGUCAAUUGGAGUGGAGAGCGGGGUCUUUGACGAACAGAAAUUUCAAGGCUUAAUGAAUUUUAAUUCCUCGAGCUUUCUUUUAGGGAUGCUUUUUGUUGUUGUUGUUGUUGUUGUUGUUGUUGUUGUUGAUCUAGUUUUCAAAAACCUCUCCCUACUCCGUGGUCUUGGAGGUUUGUUUUUGUUUCUGUUUUGUUUUGACAUUUGGACCUGAAAUGUGACUUGAAUUAGCUUCUAUGGCUGUGUGCAGGAGGGGAUCUAAUGUCUUUUUUUCUCCAAAGGUGUAUUUUUUUUUAAGUAGAGGACACUUCCAACAUGGUAGGAAAUGUGAAUGUGUUGUAAGAAAGAAACAAACAGAACUGGGUAGAGAUUCCAGGCAGUUCAGAAGAACAGGCCAGUCUCCAGGGUUUAUUAAGAUCCAAGGGGUAAUCAUGGGGGCUAAUCCCUAUCCUCAAGGAGCUCACUGUCUCAGUGUGAACAUGUGAUUAUGACAGGUUUUCAUCUAUGGCCGGGAACCCCUCACCUUCAUUAAAACUUUCACAGUUAACAAAGGAUUCCUAUAUGUGCUUCUUCACAAUGUAUUCCUGGCCAUGUCUGUACCUGUCACUGGGAUUCACAGAAGCUCAGGGACUCGCCCAAGGUAACACAGCUAGUGAGCACAGGGCCGGACAUAAAAUCUGGAAUGUCUUCUCAGCCUGGUGUUUUUUCAGCCACGCUGUCUCUCAGCUUGAUCUCCACUUUCCAGUGGCUUUUAUUAUACAAUGAAAUCUGCUAAAUCUGUUUCUGUCUCUCCAUCUAUCAGCCCUAUUUGUCCUAUUUGUCCAGCCACCAGUUUAUCUGUCCGUGUAUCUACCCAUUGUCUAUGCGUUCAUCUGGAAUGCAGUCGUCUGCCUAUCCGCCUACCUAUCUGGGAAGGUCGGGCAGGUGAUGGCAGAGUACUGGGAGAGUGGGGGGAGGGGGCACCUGAAUUCAGCCAGAUCCCAAGUUCACCCCCAGCCAGUUGCCUAACAUCAUGCCGGUCACCUCGUGCGUUUGCAAAUCAGUUUCCACGUCUAUAAAAUGAGGUGUUUGGAGUAAAUGCUUUUUAUUUAUUUUUUAUUUAUUUUAUUUAUUUUUUUAAUCUUUUUUCUUUUCAACGUUUUUUUAUUUUAUUUUUGGGACAGAGAGAGACAGAGCAUGAACGGGGUAGGGGCAGAGAGAGAGGGAGACACAGAAUCGGAAACAGGCUCCAGGCUCCGAGCCAUCAGCCCAGAGCCCGACGCGGGGCUCGAACUCACAGACCGCGAGAUCGUGACCUGGCUGAAGUCGGACGCUCAACCGACUGCGCCACCCAGGCACCCCACUAAAUGCUUUUUAAAAUGUGGCCCCUUUCUAACUUGAUUUUUCCGACUAUUGUCUCUAAUACUGUUUUCUUUACUGAUAAAUAAUUUACUUCACCUCCGUGCACCUUUUGUCUACAGCUUACCCUCAUGCCCCUUCCCUUCUUCUUUGAUUGCAAGCAAUAAAUACACAGCUCAUAGUCACGCAGGCAUGAGGCUGUUGGUUUACACAGUUCAAGUACCGGGUUGAUCACAGAGUUGAAAGGAGUAACGGGUAGAAGCGGGGUCUCUGAACUGGAACUGGGGAUUCGAAGUAGCCAUCCAUAUUUUAUUCUGAUUAUCUGUUCCUGUUUAUCCGUAGGUCCUACUCUUUUAAAGGAGGGCCUUUAUCCACACUCUGGGAAAUAUGGCCCCUGCCAGCCCCCGAUAAGCAGAUCCAGCAGAAAAAUUCUCAAGUUGUGUAUACCAUAAUUGAAGGGGGAGGGUCUGACUGUCCUCUACCAGGUUUUUUGGUUGGGGGACAGGAUGAUUGUAGCCAAGGGCCCUUUAACCCAUAACUCGAAUGGAACUUUGUGGAAUAGAAGAACAUCUCUCCCCCCCCCCAAAAUAUAUUGAACAGGCCCCCAAAAUGUCCUUUACACGCACUGAUCCAAUAAUAAGGUAUGGGUGGGCCAAAAACCAACUUGGAAAAGUUAAGGCCAAAUAAUGGUUAGGAUCAUGGGCCCUGGAAACAGUUCUCCUGGAUGAAUUCGAGGAAAUUCACGUUGACAAGCCAACGUGCCCAAAUUGUAUAUCCUCUUUAGGAGAAUAACAUUACCUAUGGCAACAAGUUAUUGUGAGGGCCAAGGACAAAAAUGAGGUUGUCUGUUACUACUGCCACAACUGUCCGUUUGAAGAGUGUCACAAAUAAUAGAUUCUGAGCUAAAAUGAUGCCUGCUGAUGCCUGACCUAGAACUCCUCCCACCGUCCCGUGAUUUGGAAGGUAGCAGAUGAAGCAAGACGGAAAUGGAAUGAGCAACAUUGUGACGCUGGCAUUUCUGGAUCCUUGUCACAGGCCGGUGGCCAGCGUCCCCUCUUUUUUUUUUUUUUUCAACGUUUUUUAUUUAUUUUUGGGACAGAGAGAGACAGAGCAUGAACGGGGGAGGGGCAGAGAGAGGGAGACACAGAAUCAGAAACAGGCUCCAGGCUCUGAGCCAUCAGCCCAGAGCCUGACGCGGGGCUCGAACUCACGGACCGCGAGAUCGUGACCUGGCUGAAGUCGGACGCUUAACCGACUGCGCCACCCAGGCGCCCCCAGCGUCCCCUCUUUAUUUGGCCUCUUAUUGCCCCGUGUCACAGAAGAGGGAACUGAGGCAUAGAGUGAUGAACGUCCGGCUGGGUCACACAGCCAGCUGGUGGUGGAGGCUCCGUUAGGGGCGUUGCUGAUGGACGGACAGAAGCGUAAGCGGGGUUUCCUAGAGUCUCUGGCCAGACGGGACGAGCUUCGACGUCAUCUCUCUUCACUCUGCUUUGCCUCGUGUGCUGUUGUUGGGCUCGCUGUGGGCGCCCUGUCUUUUCAGAGAACACGCGGACCGAUGUCGACCGCGGCAGCUGAUGGAGAAGAAAACAGCAAAAAGGUACAACUCAGACGCCAACACUUGUGGGUGAAUUUACAGUUGUAGGGAAGAGAAACUUCCCAGGUAAAUAACAUUGUUACUGUGAAUUAAAUGCCUGGCUUUUAUGCAACCUUGGGAUUGAUUUCUGCUACGAAGGAGCAGCGAACGUAAACCUACUUCAGACUCCGUCAUUCUUAGGUUUUUACCAUCCAGGGAUUUCAAAAUCAGAAAGGCGUGUUAGGUCAUCCAUAGACCUGUUGCUCUUUGUUAUUCAACCCUGCAGUCUGGCGGUGCGCUCCGAAUGUCUGCAGGAUGCCUCAUCCUGUACCUGCCGCAGAGCCGUGACUCAGCCCUAUUGAAUAACUCCCUUUUCCCCCGUAUGACAUGUCAACUUCGUUUCAUUGCUAUGGCAUGUUUCUUGCCCUGUGGCUGAUAAACAAGGCAACCCAGGCAGGAAACCAAAGCAAAUUCCCUACUUCUGAUUCAAAGCGGGAGGUCUGCCAGCAUAGACCUGGAAGACACGCUCCCUUACCUUGCCCAGUCCCCUGAGGAAGCUGGUUUUCUCUUCCUUAGCCUCCAUCCCUCCUCUCGUUCCUGGCCCCCCCGCCUCCCCAGGAGAGGACCACAAAACCCUGGAGCUCUUUUUACCUGAAAAAUAAAUCCAGGAGCAAGACCUUUUACGUUACGUUUAUCAAAAGGGAGGAUGUUCGUCUCAUGACUCCUUUAAAAUGAAGCAUUUGUGUCUGAGAGGUUUGAAGUGACUGGGGUCUGUAGGACCGGGAUCCACGCUAGGAUUCUCUGACUACGUCACAGCCGGGUGGCCACUCGAAAAUCUGGGCUCAGAGAGAUAGCACGGUGUCGUGGGUGCAAAAAGAAAGGCUUUGGGGUUUCCGAGCUUCGCUUUUGUUAUCUAAAAAUGGGGAUUAAAAAACUUUCUUUUUGGGGCGCCUGGGUGGCUCAGUCGGUUGGGCUUCUGACGGCUCAGGUCAUGAUCUCACAGUUCUUGGGUUCGAGCCCCGCGUCGGGCUCUGUGCUGACAGCUCGGAGCCUAGAGCCUGCUUUGGAUUGUUUCUCCCUCUCUCUGUCUGCCCCUCCCCUGCUCACACUCUGUCUUCUGUGUCUCUCUCUCUCUCAAAAUAAAUAAACAUUAAAAAAAAAAACAAAACUUUCUUUGGGGGAUUGUUGUAAGAAUGAAAUGAGAGUACACAUUAACCACAUGUGAAGAUAUAUCCCAGAUCGGCGUGAUGGUAACUUUUCUCAUGGACAUGCUGUGUCGCGUUCAUCGUGAUACUGGUUUCUGCCUUAAUUGUUUCAAAUGACAAAACAGAGCUAAUUACAGUUGCCACUAAAUCAUGUUUUAAAAAGAUUGAACUAGUGAAAGUACAAAUUCGUAGAACUUUUCUGGAGGCAAUUUAGUAUUAUCUAUCAAAUAAAUAUAUUUGUGUAUAUAUAUAUUUUAAUAGAAUUUUACUCUAAGAAUUUGUUAGGAGAGUAGGCAGAUGUCAUUCAUAAGUAUGGUAAUCAUGACAUGGUUGACAAUAUGAAAAUUUACAAACAACCUAUAAAUUCUACAUAGGAGACUGGUUAGGUAAAUUAUUAUACAUCUAUACAGAGGAAUACUGUCUAGGUAGCCAUUAAAAAUCAUUUAUUCUUAUGGGAAAUAUUCAUUUGUGUAUCAUUAAGUGAAAAUUGCAAAGAGUAAACUGGGGUACACUGUUAUUGUUAAUAAAUAAGAAAAGCACAUAUAUACAAUGGAAAGAAAAAAAAAAAAGGAGGGUUCAUACCGAAACAUUAAUCAUAGUUUUCUUUGGCUGGAAUCCAAGUGAUUUUUGUUGUCUUCCUUUGUGUUUUCUGUAUUUUACAAAUUUCUUGUACCCCAUAUACUUCAUUUCUCUAAUUAGAAAAAAACCAUGACUUUAAAAUAUGGCCACUUAACUCAUCACGUUUUCAAAUGAGCAUUAAGUUUAAUUAAGUUUAAAAUGCUUCAGAGAGGGGGCACCUGGGUGGCUUAGUCGGUUGGGCUUCUGACCUCGGCUCAGGUCAUGAUCUCACAGUUCAUGGGUUCGAGCCCCGCAUCGGGCUGUGUGCUGACAGCUCAGAGCCUGGAGCCUGCUUCCGAUUCUGUGUCUCCUCCUCUCUGUCCUUCCCAUGCUCUGUCUCUCUCUGUCUCUCAAUAGUAAGUAAAUGUUAACACAAUUUUUUUUUAAGGCUUCAGAGAGACUUUGAAAGAACUUAUAAAUGUGUACAUAGAAACAAAGCUGAGAAGAAACACCUCAAAAUGUGCACAACAUGACUUCUGUGUGGUGGUUUAGGCAGUCAUUUUAUUAUCGAUCUUCUAUUUUGCUGAAUUUUCAAAAUUUCUACAGUCUACAUGUAUUAAUUUUAUGAACAGGGAAAAUGCUAUCAGAGUAUCUGAAAAAUUGGAUAAUUAUUAUUUACUAAGAGUAAUAUUUUCUUAGUGCCUUCUGUGAUUUCUGGUUGAUUUGAGCUUUUUUUUUUUUUUUUUUUCCUUUUUUNNNNNNNNNNNNNNNNNNNNNNNNNNNNNNNNNNNNNNNNGCAGCCCGUUUGUCAGUUUCAAGAUGUCUAAUUUGAAAAAAAUCUAAUUUCUUUUCUUCUUAAAAUCUCUCAUUCAUAUAUCAGGGAGACUUUAAUUUGUAGCAUCAAGUUAUUCAAAGCCCAAGUCCUAAGCUGCUGGAGGGAAGACCGUUCCCAAGCGCGGCCAGCUGAAUCUGAGGAAAGCCUGAAAAUCUUCCGGGCGAGUCUGGCCUCACAGGAUUGUCAGCCUGAUUUUAGAUCAAAGGGGCUCAGAUAAACGCAUUAACUUUCGACUACUUCUCCUCCAAGCCUCAGAUCCCCUGGACGCUUGCCCAUUUGGGCUGAGACCUGUAGGCGGCUGUUUUUGGAGCAAGGGUGUCUUGAGGUCGCAGCUAACGCACAGAUUUCCAUGUCUGGUAAAACAACCAGCAUGUGUUUACCAACAUGAAUGGUAUUUUUCAAGGUCAACGCUGGGUUCCUAGCAAAUGGAAAAAAUAAUUGGUAUGCAGGAUAGAAAAAAAGCCAAGAAAGUGGUAGGCCUAUUGUUAAAGCCCUCUGUACAGCACACAAUUUUAGGGAGGCCUCUCGCGGGCCGGUCUGCUAUGUGCACUCCACCCUCUCGCCCACAGAUUGGAUCUCACCCUGGACAUAUACAGGGGAAUGAAGUUGGGACAUGAUUACAUUUUCCCCAUCUUUUGUCCUCUUCUUAAAGGGUCACAGUUAUUUUGGUAUUGGAUAAGAGCUCUUAUUGACAAAUACGAACAAGGCUGACAUGUGCUUAAAUACCAUCGCAGGUAAGAAAAUGAAAAAUGAAAAAACUAGCAACGUAUUUCUUUCCUGCAUCCGUGCACAGGCCCAACUUAACCCCGCUUUCAGAGACGCCCUUAUGGGAUGCAAACGUAACUACUGUUCCCCCUUCAAACCUGCUUCUCUCUGGGACAGGACCUGAGCUCCUUGGUGUAGCAUUUGGGGGUCUUAGCCACCGCAUAUCUCUUUAGCCUUCAGCCACCUCUACCCCUCCCACUUCAAACCCAAACUUCCUGUCCUGUCCUGGACCCCAGGAGGGUAGGUCCAUAAAUAGCAGGACCCAGAACACGGUGAAACAGCAGGCCCUUGCUCAAGACAAAAAUUCAAGGAUAAGAUUAAAAAUUUCAAGGGGCUCCUGGGUGGCUCAGUCGGUUAAGCGUCCAACUUCAGCUCAGGUCAUGAUCUCGCCGUUUGUGAGUUUGAGCCCCAAGUCGGGCUCUGUGCUGACAGCUCAGAGCCUGGAGCCUGCUUUGAAUUCUGUGUCUCCCCCUCUCUCUCCCCUCCCCCUGCUCGUGCUCUCUCUGUCUCUGUCUCUUUCAAAAAUAAAUAAACAUUAAAAAAAAAAAAAAAGAAGAAGAAUUUCAAAAUGGCGGCCACAGAGCAUUAAGCCCCAAGUACAAGGCCCGUGUGACUUUUUGGGUCAGAUGCCCAUGAAGUCACCCUAACCUGCGGCACGUUUUCACCUCAGUUUCCUCGCUCCUAUGGUGUGUGGCCUGGAGUGUCCUAUCUGUUGUCUGCUUCCAUCAUCUUCCCUCCUACUUAUUCUUUAAGAUUCACUUGGCUUGGGUAUCUGUGCCAAAGAGUCUCCCAAACUUCCCUCCCACAACCCCGCACCCACAAGUUGGGGUGGGUAUUCCUCUUCUGAGCACCUUUUAGACCAGUGAUUCCCAAAGGCUGAGCCGGCCACCACCUACUGUAUAUGUACCUGGGGCGGUUGUGAAAAUGGAUCUGAAUCUCAGGGAGAGGAGCUUAGGCAUCUGCCCUUUGAGAGUUCCAGAAUGGAUAUGCAUGCACACUGAAGCUUGAGAACGAAUGCCCCUUGCCCAGUGUCCUUGCCAAGCCUGUGCUCAGUUCCCUUGUUUCCUUAACAUCUGGCCCUACGUACACGUGGUUCCUUGUUUGCUGGACGGAGCUAACUGUUCCCAUUUCAGGUCUGCCUUCUUUCCGCUCGUGCUUCUCACUGGCUCCCGGGUCCUCAGAGCCUCUCCUCCUGUCCCUCCAGAGUUAAUGCAGCUCCACGUGGCCUCUCUGGCUGGCCCUGGGCCCCAGGAGUGACCCGUGGGGUUGGCACUUUCUGGACGGAGCUGCCAGGUGGUAACGUGGUAAGUGCCCGGCCUCCAUGAUUGCGAACCCCAAAGGGAGACCCUAAGUGUUUGCUUCUUGAGGACCUCCAGCUGGAGGAGAGAGAGAGAGAGAGAGAGGGAUGACCCUCUCGCCACAGAGGUGCGCGUGAGAGAGCAUCUCAUUUUCUCUGUGGUCAGGGGCCCUCGUGUGAGACCUCAGGCAGUCUGCAGGCCGAGGAGACUACAGAUGGCACCACCAGGCCCCAAACGGCCGGCAUGUUGAGAGGCAGCAGUGAGCUUGUCUGUGGAUCGGUUUUCUCCGGUCCCAGCCCAGAUGUUGGGAGCGCUGAUCACAGAGGAGCUGUGCACAAGGCCUGACAGAGCUCCCGUCCCUGUGCCUCAAGCCUGAGCUUGCAGAGGAGGGCCCAGACACUGGAGAGAUGUGGAUGACAGACCACCCCAGCCCUGAGACUCAACACAGGGCACUGGAUGUUUCUUUUGCAGGAAGGGGGAAGAAGUGCCUGGGGGUGGUGCGCGGUGCGAAGGAAACAACGGCCUGAGGUGGCCUCCCCGGUGGACUGGGGGCACGAGCUGUCCGUGUGUCCCCCAUGCUGGGCUCACCUCAGCUUGGCCCCGCGGUCUCGGCCGGCCACACUCUCAAGACCACCCCAGGGCCUCCGAGAUCCGUGAGCCCCACAAUGAGCAAGCCAGCUCCAGGUCUUGGGUCUCCCCGUCGCCCUCCCUCGAGGCAUCCGGGGCACAAACGACACCAGCUUCCCCGGGCCCUGUUUUGAGGCCUAUCUACCGGGAGCUGGAAGACCGCCUCAGGAAAACUUGGCCCUCUCUCUCCCGUUUUGAUUAGCGUUUUUGCUUUGUUUAACAAAUAUCUCCUGGCUGUUGUUGCAAAAAUUAGUUUUUUCUCAUUCGGGGCAUCGUCAAAUCUGGAUCCCGUGCCAGCCACACUAGGCAAAAAUUUCUAGGCCUCCAGGAAGCUGUUACAGAGAGGGGAGCCCUGUGGUUCCCACAGCGUGAAGGAGGACGGGUCACCCCACGGACCAUUAAGCAAUUGUCUGGGAGCCAGUUGUCUGCUGGUCUGUGAAUAGUUGCCUGAGUAAGCAGGUGUCUCGCGGAUCAUGAGGUAAUUGGGGCCACGAUACCCAGUGCUUCAGCCACACGAUUUCUCCGUCUCCCCUUGAAAUUUUCCUUACUCGCCAUCAUCACCCUCACUCGCUGUACGAGCUUAAAGGGACCGAGUGCUUAGUAUGUGCAAGGCACGGUCUUAAGCUUCUCCUUAACGGGUCUCAUUGUUUCCCAUCAUACCCCUGAAGUGUUGCAGUUAUAACCCCUUUUACGGGUGGAGUGGUUGAGCCUCCGAGGUGCAAGUGUCCUGUCCGAGGUCGGACGGAUAUCAGGAUUCAAACAUCCCACGUGUCCUAGCCACAGUGAGCCUCUGCGGAUACGAUUCUCUCCAAGCCCAACCUGGUCCGAGGACCGCUUCCCCUUUGUAGCCUCCCGUUAGCAGGCGGGGCUCGCAGUUCUCUGCAGCACCUGCCACAUGCAUUUAUAUUUCUGUCUACCUGUGAUAUAGUAAAAAAAAAAAAAAAAAAAAAAAUGUAUGUUUUGUCUUUGUCCCUGGUUCCUGGCACAGAGUUCGUAAAACCCUUGGGAUUUCCUGAGUGAUAGGAAUGUUACUUAUUUAUUUUAUUAUUUUUUUUAUGUUUAUUUAUAUUUUUGAGAGACAGAGAGGCAGAGAAUGAGCGGGGGAGGAGCAGAGAGAGAGGGAGACACAGAAUCGGAAACAGGCUCCAGGCUCUGAGCUGUCAUCGCAGAGCCCGAUGCGGGGCUCAAACUCACAAGCUGUGAGAGCAUGACCUGAGCCAAAGGUGGACACUUAACUGACUGAGCCACCCAGGCGCCCCAGGAAUGUUAUUUAUAAAGGUCCCUUUGACCAUACCUGAGUUUAUGCUAAUGAGGUGACUCCUGAGGGCUCCCAGAGGAGCCAAACAUGUGAUUACAGGGUAGGAACUUUCAGUCCCACCCCACCUCAUCCUCGAUCUCCAGAGAGGGGGGAGGGACUGGGGAUUGAGUUCAAUCACCAAUGGCCAAUGCCAUUAAUCAUUAAUCAGCGAUGCCUACUUACUGAAGCCUCCAUUAUAAAAUCUAAAGGACAAGGACAGAGGAGCCUCUGAGUCGGCAAACACACUCAUGUGCCAGGAGGGUGGUGCGCCCCAACUCCAUGGAGAAAGAGGCUUCUGCGCUGGGGACCUUUCCAGAUCUUGCCCUAUGUACUGCUUCAUCCGGCUGUUCAUUUCUACCCUGUGUGAUAAACUGUAUUCUUUUUUUUUUUUUUUCAACGUUUAUUUAUUUUUGGGACAGAGAGAGACAGAGCAUGAACGGGGGAGGGGCAGAGAGAGAGGGAGACACAGAAUCGGAAACAGGCUCCAGGCUCUGAGCCAUCAGCCCAGAGCCCGACGCGGGGCUCGAACUCACAGACCGCGAGAUCGUGACCUGGCUGAAGUCGGACACUUAACCGACUGCGCUACCCAGGCGCCCCUAUAAACUGUAUUCUAAGUAUAGUGCUUUUCUUUUUUGUUUUUUGGGGUUUUUUUUGGUAAUGUUUGUUUAUAUAUGACAGAGAGAGCACGAGUGGGGAAGGGACAGAGAGAGGGAGAGAGAGAGAGAAUCCCAAGCAGGCUCCGUGCUGUCAGUGCGGAGCCCAAAGCUGGGCUUGAACUCAUGAACCGUGAGAUUGUGAUCUGAGCCGAAGUCGGAUGCUUAACGACUGAGCCACCCAGGCACCCCAGUGCUUUUCUGGUUUUGUGAGUCCUUCCAAUGAAUUGCUGAGCCUGAGGGCAGGUGGCAGGAAGCACUGACCUUGUAGUCAGCCGGUGGAGGUACAGGUAGCCCCGGGACCCCGCGAACAGCCAGUGUCUGAUAUGGGGGCAGGAUCGUGGGGUCAGUUGGUGUCGGAAUUGGUUUGAGUUGUGGGUCACCCAGUUUGUUCCAGAGGACUGGAGAGUGGCUGGUGUGGAAGAGCUACCCCAACCCCCCACCGGCCAGUGAGACUUGUAGGUCUGGGGAGGGGCUCGUGUCGCUGGUUAAACAACACGGCGGGGAGGGGGGCUGCAAUGCGUUGCCUGCUCAGCAUGGCUCUCUCCUCCACCUGCAACUUCAGACUCUCAACCCCCAGCGGGAGCUUCUGGAACCUCUCUUCACCUUCAGGCGUUGAGACAGAUAUUCACUGGGUUGGUUACAGUGAGCCCGACCUUCAAGUGACGGGGAGUAGUAAGUUUCAGCGCCAGGGUCACACUGAUACUUGGUGACAGAGCAAGGACCGGGCUUCCCAGUCUCAUGACUGACACACCUCUACCUCACCAUCUUUUGGCUUUCCAAAGUAUCCUUCCUGAUCCGAUGCCACAAUUCUCUGGGGCCAAAAUGCAAAAUGAAGUCACCGCGAAGCUGCCGUUGACUCACCACGGGACCCUGGUUUCCAGGUCGGUGUCACUUCCACUCCAAAAUAGUCCAAACUGGUCUAUUUUCCAUCAGGGGGUGUAAACGGCCCUUAGGUCUCAGCUUCCUCCCCUCCCCCACCAGAUGUUGUGAAUCAUAGGCCUAUGAAUCUCAAGGCCUCCGUCCAAUAAAGACACAGGAGCUAAAGGCAGGUGGGGAGGGGGAAGAUCCCGGAAAGUCCCCACCACUGUCAGCAGCUUCCUCGGCAGGGAGGAUUCACCGGGCUGGCUGGGUCCGGAGCUUGGAGGCCAAUUGAGGAUCUGUCAUCAGCUCCCUCUUGUUCCAGAAACAGCUUCUUCAAAGGGGUCUGCAGCGGCGGUGGGGAGGCCUGCUCAGAGUCUCUGGGAUUGUUGGAAGGUGGAAGGAGGAGAGGAAGGUGGGGAGGACGCCUGGAGCCCUGCCACCCGAGUGAGGCCGGUGACAGGAAGAAUCUAUCAAUCUUGUGUGCAGAGCCAAAUAUGGUGCUGGGGCUCGAUAGGUAAUAAACAAUGGUCACAUUGCGGGCUCGACAAGGAGAGACAUUACAGACGAGAGCCAGGGGCAGCCUGACGUCACUGUGUGCGGCCGAGCCGGCUGGCUCACCCUGGGCUGCAGAAAUUCCAUAUUUGUCCUUUUUGAGCCCACAUGGGCUUUCUUCUCCAUGUGCUCAGAGCAGGAAGGGGAAACUGAGGCCCGUGUGUCGCUUGGGAGAUGUAUCCCCGGGGGUGUGGUAGGAAUUGAGCCUGUCUUAUAUCGUGACUUGCUUUUGGCAGCCUCGUCCACAUGCAGCCAGGCUCUUAGCGGCAACAGCAAGAGACCCAUGAGUGGAAAUCACCAGAACUGGCACUUCAAAAAAUUUAUUAUUAUUAUUUUUAAUGUUUGUCUAUUUUUGAGAGACAGAGAGAGACAGAGCACGCGUGGGGAAGGAACAAAGAGAGAGGGAGACGCAGAAUCCCAAGCAGGCCCCAGGCUCCCAGCUGUCA
Molecule: long non-coding RNA, 39320 nt
Filed under: Lynx pardinus (Iberian lynx)
Lineage: Eukaryota; Metazoa; Chordata; Mammalia; Carnivora; Felidae
Rfam family: tRNA (bases 12139-12211)
Source: RNAcentral